Molecule: ribosomal RNA, 253 nt
Filed under: uncultured bacterium
Lineage: Bacteria
Description: partial 16S ribosomal RNA
Rfam family: Bacterial small subunit ribosomal RNA
Source: RNAcentral
UACGGGGGGGGCAAGCGUUGUUCGGAAUUACUGGGCGUAAAGGGCUCGUAGGUGGCCAACUAAGUCAGACGUGAAAUCCCUCAGCUUAACUGGGGAACUGCGUCUGAUACUGGAUGGCUUGAGUUUGGGAGAGGGAUGCGGAAUUCCAGGUGUAGCGGUGAAAUGCGUAGAUAUCUGGAGGAACACCGGUGGCGAAGGCGGCAUCCUGGACCAACACUGACACUGAGGAGCGAAAGCCAGGGGAGCAAGCGGG